GAUGAACGCUGGCGGCGUGCUUAACACAUGCGAGUCGAACGGUGAAGGCGGAGCUUUCUCUGCUGGAUCAGUGGCGAACGGGUGAGUAACACGUGAGCAAUCUGCCCCUGACUCUGUGAUAAGCGCUGGAAACGGCGUCUAAUACUGGAUACGAGCUGCGAAGGCAUCUUCAGCAGCUGGAAAGAAUUUCGUUCAGGGAUGAGCUCGCGGCCUAUCAGCUUGUUGGUGAGGUAAUGGCUCACCAAGGCGUCGACGGGUAGCCGGCAUGAGAGGGUGACCGGACACAAUGGGACUGAGAAACGGACCAGACUGCAACGGGAGGCAGCAGUGGGGAAUAGUGCACAAUGGGCGAAAGCCGGAUGCAGCAACGCCGCGUGAGGGAAGACGGCCUUCGGGUUGUAAACCUCUUUUAGCAGGGAAGAAGAGAAAGUGACGGUAACUGAAGAAAAAGCGCCGGCUAACUACGUG
Molecule: ribosomal RNA, 468 nt
Filed under: uncultured bacterium
Lineage: Bacteria
Description: partial 16S ribosomal RNA
Rfam family: Bacterial small subunit ribosomal RNA
Source: RNAcentral